CCUACGUGAGGCUGCAGUGAGGAAUAUUGGUCAAUGGGCGGAAGCCUGAACCAGCCAAGUAGCGUGCAGGAUGACGGCCCUACGGGUUGUAAACUGCUUUUAUACGGGAAUAACGCGCCUUACGUGUAGGGCUUUGCAUGUACCGUAUGAAUAAGGCCCGGCUAAUUCCGUGCCAGCAGCCGCGGUAAUACGGAAGGACCGGGCGUUAUCCGGAUUUAUUGGGUUUAAAGGGAGCGUAGGCCGCAUGUCAAGCGUGCUGUGAAAGGGCCGGGCGCAACCCGGGCCUUGCAGCGCGAACUGGCGGGCUUGAGUCCGCGGAAAGCAGGCGGAAUUCGUCGUGUAGCGGUGAAAUGCUUAGAUAUGACGAAGAACCCCGAUUGCGAAGGCAGCUUGCUGGAGCGGAACUGACGCUGAUGCUCGAAAGCGCGGGUAUCGAACAGGAUUAGAUACCCUGGUAGUC
RNAcentral lists this ribosomal RNA (460 nucleotides) under uncultured bacterium. RNAcentral describes it as "partial 16S ribosomal RNA". It matches the Rfam family "Bacterial small subunit ribosomal RNA", at positions 338 to 795 of the family's 1533-position model. The record is from RNAcentral.